ACAAAGGCUCUUUUAAGAGCCACUUAAAGUGUCUUAAAAGGCUGAG
Otolemur garnettii (small-eared galago) is the source of this 46-nucleotide non-coding RNA. NCBI's taxonomy places the organism in Eukaryota, Metazoa, Chordata, Mammalia, Primates, Galagidae. The record is from Rfam.